UCCUCCAUAACGAUGUUUCGAUCGGAAGCAUUUAAAAAUUAACCACUAAUGAUGUAUAUUUCAAAUUCUCAAUACCUUGAGAAUAUAUAAAAUCAUCUUUGUUAAUUUUUAGAACAAAUCAUGGACAUAUAUGACAUGAUUGGUUAACAAGGCUGUCCGUCAAGUAUAAAGUAUCCCCUAGAUAAAGGUAUGUAUUAGUCA
Molecule: long non-coding RNA, 201 nt
Filed under: Elaeis guineensis (African oil palm)
Lineage: Eukaryota; Viridiplantae; Streptophyta; Magnoliopsida; Arecales; Arecaceae
Description: long non-coding RNA (EGUI_LNC021896)
Source: RNAcentral